Saccostrea cuccullata (small rock oyster) is the source of this 1604-nucleotide long non-coding RNA. RefSeq lists it as uncharacterized. Lineage: Eukaryota; Metazoa; Mollusca; Bivalvia; Ostreida; Ostreidae. The transcript is spliced from 4 exons. The record is from RefSeq and is a predicted model, not a curated record.
CCUGCUUUUCCUGUGAAAAAAAACGUAUUUUACUAUUUAUUUAGAUUUUGUUAGAAUUAUCUCCCCUGUUGCGCUCUUCUGUAGAGUAGGUAGAUAAUGAUUAUGUUUACGAAGUUUAUAAACAGAUGUCUGUCAUCUUAUCGUUUAAGGCAUAAAUUAUGUGUGAUUUGAAGAAAAUUGUCCCUCCUGUGAAUGUAAUUUGUUACGUAUAUACUAGUGGCCUAUGUAUAAAAUGCAUAAAAAAUUAUGAAAACCAUCGGGAUCGAUGUACGGUUCCGUAACCACGUGUAAACAUUAUGGCAUCCUGAGACGUUUUUUUACCGUUUUGUACGUCCUCAGAAAAAGAUUCAGGUGCGUGAAUUGUUAACGAGUCUUCAGAUUCUGGCUCUGAUUUUGAUGAAUAUGAUUCUGACAGCGAACAUUCAUUUGGUAGCAAGACGGGUGUAGUGAUGAUGAUACCGAAUCAACAAUGUUUGAAUUUGAAAAAGAAACAGAUAUUUAUGAAAUGUUAUGAAGAUGGCUACAGUUAUGAUUUUCGGCUUUUCAUAUAUGAUUAAAGGAAAAAGAGUUGUCAAAUACUUGUGCAGACUUUUCAAAUUAAAGGUCACCAUGUGUUCCUUGACAGAUUAUUCAAAUUCAUUUCCCUGGUUAGGGCUGGGCUUUACAAUGGGAUUUUCAGCUGUGGAGCUGUAAAGAAUUACUACAUUAUAAGGGUUUCCAAUGUAGCUUUGUGAACAGAAUCCAGAAAUAAGAAGAGGAGAGAUAAUGCAGAUGCAGCAUUAGCAUUACCAAUUACUUACCACUGCUGAGAAAAUGGUACAUGCUUUGAGUACUACUUUUGUGUAUUUGGAGACAGUCCAGUUGUUCUUUAAACCAGAAGUGGAAAUUUCAGUGCUUUUUAAAUUUUCUCCAGAAGUUAUUUGAUGCUACAUCAGAAGAAAAUGGGGUUAUACUGAACAGAAUAUUUUGGAUACACCUUAUAGAUUUUGAAAGCUUGAGACCUCAAGAUCAACCCAAAUGGUGUACCAAACAUGAAGAAAAAAAGACAGUUUAUGAUUGAAGAAGCUUGUGUGGUAGCCAAAAUUUCAGGGUAUUUCAUAUAUGUUAACUUGUACGAUUUUAUUGGUACAUGUACUUAAACAUUGUUAAUAUCUUGAUAUUUAAUAUGUAUCAGGUUUCACUUGCAGGAAUACACAAAAAUUCAGAGUAAAUUUUAAGUGUUUGUUAUGUUAGAAAAGAUCAAAGUUCAAGGUCAACAGUGCUUUAGUUUUACCAAAUAUAACACUAUUAUAAAGACUAAUUUCCUGUGUACAGGUAUAGCAAAUUAUUCAGAAUAUGAUUUGGGGAAACUGUGAUUUUUUUCUUUUAAAUCUUACCUUAAUGUAUACUUAAGCAAGUAGAUUUUUUUCAAGCAGACAAAAUUUCAAGAUCAUUUUAAUUUUGGAAGUGAAUAUAAAAUAUCAGGAAGCAGUCAAGCAUUGUAAUUUUUUGUUGUUGAAUGUACUUAGUUAGUGAGUAAUAUUCAAAUUUUUAUCUGCAAUGAAAUUAAAAAUUAUAAAUGAUUUAAUUUGUUGAUUUUUAAAACUUCAUGUUCAUUCAUUUUG